Molecule: ribosomal RNA, 213 nt
Filed under: Zopfiaceae sp.
Lineage: Eukaryota; Fungi; Ascomycota; Dothideomycetes; Zopfiaceae
Description: partial large subunit ribosomal RNA
Source: RNAcentral
AAGCGCUUGCAGCCAGACUUAUUUGCAGUCGCUCAUCCAGGCCCACGCCUGGUGCACUCGUUUGCAAGUAGGCCAGCAUCAGUUCGGGCGGCUGGACAAAGGCUUGGGGAAUGUAGCUCUCUUCGGGGAGUGUUAUAGCCCUAGGUGUCAUGCAGCCAGCCUGGACUGAGGUCCGCGCUUCGGCUAGGAUGCUGGCGUAAUGGCGGCAAGCGG